Molecule: long non-coding RNA, 1460 nt
Filed under: Cricetulus griseus (Chinese hamster)
Lineage: Eukaryota; Metazoa; Chordata; Mammalia; Rodentia; Cricetidae
Description: lncRNA (ENSCGRG00015039233.1)
Source: RNAcentral
CAGGACUGUUAGCCUUGGUCUGAAACAGUGUCGUGCCCCCCUUCACACACACACCAUGCUGGAUCCAAACAACCAACGGCAUGUGCUGUGUGUCAGGGAGAGGCCUUCCUGAGCUGAGAAUGUCCAUGUGGGGUGCUGUUAGGAGAUGGGACUAAGCAGACCUCUGUAAGGAUCCCUCCAUUACAGACACUGAACCUGCUGUUUACUGCUGGCCUAAGGACUGGCCUGCCAUAUGAGGCACUUUGGUAGGCCCAGUCUUAAUCCAUUGGCUAGUUCUUUGCAAGGCCACAGUAAUUAGAGGGUGUAGUGAGAGCAACAGCUGAAGAGCUCAGACUGAGAGAGCCAGGCUGUGUUGUCUUGCUUCCCUUGUGUUCUACCCGCUGAGUGCCCUGUGCCCUGCUGUAGUAGGACAAGCAAAGCAAAAGGAACCCUCCCAAGAGACUUUGAUAUGGAAGGCUGAGGCGAUUUGGCCCUCUUAGAGGGAAAGCCCUGGGCACAGGAGACCGGAGAAGGGUGUGGCUUUUUUCUCUCCUCUCCUCUUCCGGCCCAGUCUCAGGCCUACCAGAAGCAGAAAAAGCAGCUGAACUGGAGGAGCUGCAGCCAGAAAAGAAGCUGCCCAACUCUCUGCACCCAUUCCUCUGUGUGGGAGGCAUGGGGGAAGUGGGAGGAAAGACAGACACUAAGCAGCUUUCCCAAUCGCCAUGCUCUGAACUGGCUGCCCUUGGUGACAAAAUGUUGAGGGACUUGGGAGAUCAUGUGGAGAGAUUCCUUACCACCACCCCCCACCACCACCCCAGGGUGUGUGGCCAAGUGUUUCCUUUGCUGUCAGAGCCAAGCUCGCCCCGGGAACCAUCGUCUGGAAGGCAGAAGCACAAACAUCCCAACAUGAGAGAGAGCGAACACAGGUCACUGGAACAGAGGAGAGGAAAGGUAGAGAGGGGGACACACAUGAGGGACGGGCUUCUGCCCAAGGCUGGAGGCUGUGGUAUUAAAGGAAAAAAACCAAACCAAAACCACACAACCCAAUUCCCCAGAUACCAGUAGGACUGGUCAGGUAUUUGAUGGGAAGGACAAAAAAAAAAAAAAAAAAAAAAAAAAAAAAAAAAAAAAACGUAGUAACACAAAGGGAGUGUAGGAAGGGGCAAGGUUGCUUGCUUAUUUAUAUAGGGCUGGGUUUCUAUAGAUGAUGGGUGUUCUCUGUGGCAGCUACCCGCCAGAGCUGUGCUUUUUCUAUGCGGACUUGGAGUGUGUGUAUUUGGAGUUGCGUGGGUGGGCAGAGCAGAGCUGCCACUGCCUGGUGGCAUAUGAGGUGCUAGGACAGCCAACAGGCGCAGGGGGGUGGGGGAGUAACAGCGACCGGCUGCCUUCUGAAAAGCCUGGCCUGGUUUUUUCCCACCAGCACAGAAGCCCUGGGAGGUGCCAGGCCCAGCACUGCUGCUGUGUGCCGGCCCCAAUCGGAG